RNAcentral lists this ribosomal RNA (729 nucleotides) under uncultured archaeon. RNAcentral describes it as "bacterial SSU rRNA". It matches the Rfam family "Archaeal small subunit ribosomal RNA", at positions 85 to 819 of the family's 1478-position model. The record is from RNAcentral.
ACGGCUCAGUAACACGUGGACAAUCUGCCCUGAAGAAGAGGAUAAUCCCGGGAAACUGGGGGUAAUACUCUAUAGUCCGGGAGGACUGGAAUGUUCUCCGGAUGAAAGAUCCGUCGCUUCAGGAUGAGUCUGCGGCCGAUUAGGUAGUUGUUGGGGUAAAAGCCCAACAAGCCUGUCAUCGGUACGGGUUGUGGGAGCAAGAGCCCGGAGAUGGAUUCUGAGACACGAAUCCAGGCCCUACGGGGCGCAGCAGGCGCGAAAACUUUACAAUGCGGGCAACCGUGAUAAGGAAACCCCGAGUGCCACCACAGGGUGGCUGUCCACCAGUGUAAACAACUGGUGAAGAAAGGGCCGGGCAAGACCGGUGCCAGCCGCCGCGGUAAUACCGGCGGCUCGAGUGGUGGCCGCUUUUACUGGGCUUAAAGGGUCCGUAGCUGGAUCUGUGUGUCCCUUGAGAAAUCCAUCGGCUUAACUGAUGGGCGUUCAGGGGAAACUGCAGUUCUAGGGACCGGGAGAGGUGAGAGGUACUGCCGGGGUAGGAGUGAAAUCCUGUAAUCCCGGUGGGACGACCUAUGGCGAAGGCAUCUCACCAGAACGGCUCCGACAGUGAGGGACGAAAGCUGGGGGAGCAAACCGGAUUAGAUACCCGGGUAGUCCCAGCUGUAAACGAUGCGCAUUAGGUGUGUCAGUGACCACGUGUCACUGAGGUGCCGAAGGGAAACCCGUGAA